RNAcentral lists this transfer RNA (38 nucleotides) under Coffea sessiliflora. RNAcentral describes it as "partial tRNA-Phe". Lineage: Eukaryota; Viridiplantae; Streptophyta; Magnoliopsida; Gentianales; Rubiaceae. The record is from RNAcentral.
GUCGGGAUAGCUCAGAUGGUAGAGCAGAGGACUGAAAA